Non-coding RNA from Gossypium raimondii (Peruvian cotton), 144 nucleotides. Lineage: Eukaryota; Viridiplantae; Streptophyta; Magnoliopsida; Malvales; Malvaceae. The record is from Rfam.
UGUUAAAAAUUUCAUCUAUUUCUAUUGAUAAAAACUAGCGUGGUUGACGAAAUAACCAAACAAUUACAAAUGGAAUGCUAUGUGCACAUUAUGCUGACAUACAAAGACUAGUUUUUAACUGUAGAAAUGAAUAUUUUAUUAACA